Molecule: ribosomal RNA, 909 nt
Filed under: Talaromyces verruculosus
Lineage: Eukaryota; Fungi; Ascomycota; Eurotiomycetes; Eurotiales; Trichocomaceae
Description: LSU rRNA
Rfam family: Eukaryotic large subunit ribosomal RNA
Source: RNAcentral
UAGCAUAUCAAUAAGCGGAGGAAAAGAAACCAACCGGGAUUGCCUCAGUAACGGCGAGUGAAGCGGCAAGAGCUCAAAUUUGAAAUCUGGCCCCUUUGGGGUCCGAGUUGUAAUUUGCAGAGGAUGCUUCGGGUGCGGUCCCCGUCUAAGUGCCCUGGAACGGGCCGUCAUAGAGGGUGAGAAUCCCGUCUGGGAUGGGCGGCCCGCGCCCGUGUGAAGCUCCUUCGACGAGUCGAGUUGUUUGGGAAUGCAGCUCUAAGCGGGUGGUAAAUUUCAUCUAAAGCUAAAUACUGGCCGGAGACCGAUAGCGCACAAGUAGAGUGAUCGAAAGAUGAAAAGCACUUUGAAAAGAGAGUUAAACAGCACGUGAAAUUGUUGAAAGGGAAGCGUUGUCCACCAGACUCGCCCGGGGGGGUUCAGCCGGCACGUGUGCCGGUGUACUCCUCUCCGGGCGGGCCAGCAUCGGUUUGGGCGGCUGGUGAAAGGCCCCGGGAAUGUAACACCCUCCGGGGUGCCUUAUAGCCCGGGGUGCCAUACAGCCAGCCUGGACCGAGGCCCGCGCUUCGGCGAGGAUGCUGGCGUAAUGGUGGUCAACGGCCCGUCUUGAAACACGGACCAAGGAGUCUAACAUCUAUGCGAGUGUUCGGGUGUCAAACCCGUCCGCGCAGUGAAAGCGAACGGAGGUGGGAGCCUUUCGGGGCGCACCAUCGACCGAUCCUGAUGUCUUCGGAUGGAUUUGAGUAAGAGCGUAGCUGUUGGGACCCGAAAGAUGGUGAACUAUGCCUGAAUAGGGCGAAGCCAGAGGAAACUCUGGUGGAGGCUCGCAGCGGUUCUGACGUGCAAAUCGAUCGUCAAAUUUGGGUAUAGGGGCGAAAGACUAAUCGAACCAUCUGGUAGCUGGUUCCUGCC